RNAcentral lists this unclassified non-coding RNA (2397 nucleotides) under Hevea brasiliensis (rubber tree). Lineage: Eukaryota; Viridiplantae; Streptophyta; Magnoliopsida; Malpighiales; Euphorbiaceae. The record is from RNAcentral.
GAACAUGGAGAGGAAGAAGUCUGGUUAAACAAAAAAAAAACAAAUAGAGAAGGAGAAGCAAAAAUGUUGUCGUCACUUUCGUCCUCUCGCACGGGAGCCAAUAAUCUCAGAUUCUCACCCAACACAGGUCUCUACUCAAGCUAUGUGUCUAGAAAACAACUCCGUCGUUGCCCUUUCACUUCCUCUGCUAGAUCAUUUCCUAAACUUCAAGUUCAGUCACUCCCACCAAAUCAACCCAAAGUGAUCCCACCCCUUAGUCUACUUCCCAGACCCAAAAGACCAACCUUUCUUAUUCGUUGUGGCAUUUCAUCAGAUAACUUAGGCGCCAGUAAUGAGAAAAGUUUUAGGGAGUGGAUUGAGGUGGUAGGCGAGGCAAUAUCUACAGCAUUUCCUAUAUGGGUAUCGUUGGGUUGCUUGUUGGCGCUCGUAAAGCCCAGCUCUUUCAAUUGGGUCACCCCGAAAUGGACCAUUCUUGGCAUUUCUCUCACCAUGCUUGGAAUGGGCAUGACACUUACCUUCGAUGAUCUUAGGACCGCUUUCGCUAUGCCUAAAGAGCUUAUGUCUGGUUUCGUGCUUCAGUACUCGGUGUGGUCUUUUCUUUUGUGCAUGUUCGUUUGGAUUUGUUGCUUUUAAGUUUUAUCCCAAAACAGUACCCUUAUUCUAAUUACGUAUCGUUUAUCUUUUAAGGGCUUUCAGGUUUUGUUUUGUUACGUUCAAUCUGAUAUUGCUUGCUUAAAAUUUUAAAAUGUUUAAUGCAAAUGAUCAAUCGUCAUUGGCAUUUAUACUGGAUAUCUUAAAUGCAGGUUGCUUUUCAGAAUCAGAAUUGGAUGUUUCUACCUAAUGAAACAUGAUUUUGAUUUGACAAGUUAAUAGAAAGUAGAGUUUCAAACUUUUAAAACUGUAGCUGGAAGAGUUUUAAUCUGCUUAUUUCCAUGUCCCAACUCCCAAUUCCGAAAAUUAUCAGCUCACCUUUAAUACAUAUACAGUUAGGGCAUACUCGGUUAUGCUCCGUCUUAAGGAACAUUAUCAAAAGUUAUCAUGAGUAAUGGUACUUUUACUGUGUUGAUAUUUUUCCCUUUCAUUGAAGUUAAGAGUAACAUCUAGGAAACAGGCUACACUAUGGCAUCAGUGACAUAACCAGUUGUGGGAUAUAUGUUCAAUUUCAUCUUCUUUUUUUUCUUGUUCUUGAAAAAAAGGCUAAUAGUUUAAUUGGUUGUUGGUUGCAGGUGAUGCCAAUAUCUGGGUUUUUGGUGAGCAAGCUCUUAAAUCUGCCUUCACAUUAUGCAGCUGGUCUAAUAUUGGUUGGUUGCUGCCCUGGUGGAACAGCAAGCAACAUAGUGACUUACAUUGCACGGUUUGAGAUUCUCAAUUUUUAUUUUCUCUUUUUCUCUUUUUGCUUAUUGUAGUCAUAAGAUUUGAUGAUCUUUUGUCUCCCAGCGGAAAUGUGGCACUCUCAGUAUUGAUGACAGCAGCAAGCACUUUAGCAGCUGUGGUCGGUAACUGGCAUUGAUGUCUUAUCUUUUACUUGGCAAAAAUUUGGCGUGCAUUCAUUUAAAGGCAAUGUUAGAAAUUACAACAGUAGCAAUUAAGUUUUUCUCUAAAAAAAUACUGCAUUGACAUCAUUUCUUAGUUUUCAACUGAUUCAUUUUCUUUGGCCAGUAAAAGGUUCUUGGGGAAUAAGCUUUUUCAGAUAGUGAGAAAUGUGUUCUAUUCAGUUUUCAUUUUCAGGCAUGGUAUAAUUCAGAAGGAAGGGUUUUUCACUUUUCACUUUUCACUUUUCAUUUGGCCUCUUAAGACUAAAGCAAUUUCUUGAUAAUAUUUCUCUAAAAUGCAUAUCCAAACUUUGAAAUGAUUCUAUAUAAGAUAUUGCUGCCCCCUCAGUUUCCAAAAUAAAUUUCCUCCUACCUUCCAUCUGCAGAUUAUGACCCCAUUUCUUACAGCCAAACUGGCUGGACAAUUUGUUGCAGUAGAUGCAGCUGGACUGCUAAUAUCAACCAUGCAGGUUGUGCUUCUUCCUGUUCUGGCUGGUGCAUUUCUAAAUCAGUAUUUCCAAGGCCUGGUUAAAUUUGUAUCACCCCUGAUGCCACCUAUUGCUGUGGCAACUGUUGCUGUUCUAUGCGGAAAUGCAAUUGCCCAGAGUGCUUCAUCAAUCCUCAUGUCUGGUAAACAAGUGGUGCUUGCUGCAUCUCUACUUCAUGCAUCUGGCUUUUUCUUUGGAUAUGUGCUUGCAAGAGUGCUUGGACUUGAUGUGGCAUCAUCACGGACCAUCUCCAUUGAGGUUGGGAUGCAGAACUCGGUGCUUGGAGUCGUUCUAGCAACUCAGCACUUCGGAAACCCACUGACUGCAGUACCGUGUGCUGUUUCCAGUGUAUGUCACUCGGUCUUCGGUAGUGUCCU